Long non-coding RNA from Bombyx mori (domestic silkworm), 878 nucleotides. RefSeq lists it as uncharacterized. The transcript is spliced from 2 exons. The record is from RefSeq and is a predicted model, not a curated record. Lineage: Eukaryota; Metazoa; Arthropoda; Insecta; Lepidoptera; Bombycidae.
AAGCACGCACGACGCAGGACCACUCUGACGUACGUCCGCGUUAUUCACUGUCUAUCUGCACGACGUUCGCGGUGGUAGGGGCACUCGCUGGAUGCAAAUCGGUCGUGCAAAUCCAGCAAACAAUUAAUAAUAACUAGAGGUCCCGCAGUAGUCGAAAUUCGACUAUAAUUAAUUGGAAUUUUUACCAGCCGUCCCUUCGAUGUCGUCAGCCGAUCUGCUUCUAAGUCUUCCUCUUUUUUUAUUUCCCCGAGGGCCAGGCCAUGACGUCAGCAAAAGUCCAUCUAUCGUCACUCAUUCUUGCCACGUGGCCUGCCCAUCGCCAUUUUAAUCUCACAGCAUAGCUUGGUGCAUUACUCCUGUUUCUUACUAAUGUUUUUUUAUUAUUUUUUAUUUAUUAAAUACUUUAUUUCAGUUUUUUUUUAAAACAUAACAUUUUGUUAGUAAGAAUCACUUAUAAUGUAUGUUAGUAACUUAAAAAUCAACACACAACAAAACAAAACACAUAACUAUCAGACAUAUAUUAUAUAACAUUACAACUUUUUCCAAGUGGCUGCUGCAAAGGCUAUUAAUCAGCAGUCCCUCGAUCUUACUCGAUAUGAUGUUCAGAAGAUCGUUGCCACUGUCUCUGACUCGACGCAGUAACGAUGCACUUCUCUACCGCAUUAUUGCAAAGAAGUCUUUUUUUUUCCUACCUAAUCUGAUAGCCUUGAGAGGCUAUUUCAGCUGACUUAUGCUUCUAAUACAUAUUUACCCCAUGAUGGUUUCCAGCGAUUUUUAAGCUGUUAGCAAGAAGCUAUUUAAGCUACCAUCGGCUCCAUUCAAAUGUUUUGUUUUAGCUGUAAGUAUGUAAGAAGAUCGUACUAAAUACAUAAAUGUCU